This 383-nucleotide ribosomal RNA is filed under the name uncultured Tomentella. Its description in RNAcentral is "eukaryotic LSU rRNA". The stretch from base 1 to 123 matches the Rfam family "5.8S ribosomal RNA", at positions 33 to 154 of the family's 154-position model. The record is from RNAcentral. Lineage: Eukaryota; Fungi; Basidiomycota; Agaricomycetes; Thelephorales; Thelephoraceae.
UCGAUGAAGAACGCAGCGAAAUGCGAUAAGUAAUGUGAAUUGCAGAAUUCAGUGAAUCAUCGAAUCUUUGAACGCACCUUGCGCCCUUUGGCUAUUCUGAAGGGCAUGCCUGUUUGAGUAUCAUGAACACCUCAACUCCUCAUGGUUUGCCAUGAUGAGCUUGGACUUUGGGGGUCUUGCUGGCCUAUGGUUGGCUCCUCUCAAAUGGAUCAGCUUGCCAGUGUUUGGUGGCAUCACAGGUGUGAUAAAUAUCUACGCUUGUGGUUUCCACCAUAUAGCCUUCAGCGAUGAAGGCUCUCUGGAGCUCACAAAUGUCCCUCCUCAGCGAGGACAGCUUUUGAACAUUUGAUCUCAAAUCAGGUAGGAUUACCCGCUGAACUUAA